This 463-nucleotide ribosomal RNA is filed under the name Didymella macrostoma. RNAcentral describes it as "eukaryotic LSU rRNA". The stretch from base 135 to 288 matches the Rfam family "5.8S ribosomal RNA". The record is from RNAcentral. Lineage: Eukaryota; Fungi; Ascomycota; Dothideomycetes; Pleosporales; Didymellaceae.
AGUUGUAGGCUUUGCCUGCUAUCUCUUACCCAUGUCUUUUGAGUACCUUCGUUUCCUCGGCGGGUUCGCCCGCCGAUUGGACAAUUUAAACCAUUUGCAGUUGCAAUCAGCGUCUGAAAAAACAUAAUAGUUACAACUUUCAACAACGGAUCUCUUGGUUCUGGCAUCGAUGAAGAACGCAGCGAAAUGCGAUAAGUAGUGUGAAUUGCAGAAUUCAGUGAAUCAUCGAAUCUUUGAACGCACAUUGCGCCCCUUGGUAUUCCAUGGGGCAUGCCUGUUCCAGCGUCAUUUGUACCUUCAAGCUCCGCUUGGUGUUGGGUGUUUGGCUCACCUCUGCGUGUAGACUCGCCUCACAAAAAUUGACAGCCGGCGUAUUGAUUUCGGAGCGCAGUACAUCUCGCGCUUUGCACUCAGAACGACGACGUCCAAAAGUACAUUUUUACACUCUUGACCUCGGAUCAGG